AACGAACGCUGGCGGCAUGCCUAACACAUGCAAGUCGAACGAGACCUUCGGGUCUAGUGGCGCACGGGUGCGUAACGCGUGGGAACCUGCCCUUAGGUUCGGAAUAACUCCCCGAAAGGGGUGCUAAUACCGGAUAAUGUCUUCGGACCAAAGAUUUAUCGCCUUUGGAUGGGCCCGCGUUGGAUUAGCUAGUUGGUAGGGUAAAAGCCUACCAAGGCGACGAUCCAUAGCUGGUCUGAGAGGAUGAUCAGCCACACUGGGACUGAGACACGGCCCAGACUCCUACGGGAGGCAGCAGUGGGGAAUAUUAGACAAUGGGCGAAAGCCUGAUCCAGCAAUGCCGCGUGAGUGAUGAAGGCCUUAGGGUUGUAAAGCUCUUUUACCCGGGAUGAUAAUGACAGUACCGGGUGAAUAAGCUCCGGCUAACUCCGUG
Molecule: ribosomal RNA, 433 nt
Filed under: uncultured bacterium
Lineage: Bacteria
Description: partial 16S ribosomal RNA
Rfam family: Bacterial small subunit ribosomal RNA
Source: RNAcentral